GACGAACGCUGGCGGCGUGCUUAACACAUGCAAGUCGAACGGAAAGGCCCUGCUUGCAGGGUACUCGAGUGGCGAACGGGUGAGUAACACGUGGGUGAUCUGCCCUGCACUUCGGGAUAAGCCUGGGAAACUGGGUCUAAUACCGGAUAGGAGCCAUUUUUAGUGUGAUGGUUGGAAAGUUUUUUCGGUGUAGGAUGAGCUCGCGGCCUAUCAGCUUGUUGGUGGGGUAAUGGCCUACCAAGGCGGCGACGGGUAGCCGGCCUGAGAGGGUGGACGGCCACAUUGGGACUGAGAUACGGCCCAGACUCCGACGGGAGGCAGCAGGGGGGAAUAUUGCACAAUGGGCGCAAGCCUGAUGCAGCGACGCCGCGUGGGGGAGGACGGCCUUCGGGUUGUAAACUCCUUUCGCUAGGGACGAAGCUUUUUGUGACGGUACCUAGAGAAGAAGCACCGGCUAACUACGUG
Molecule: ribosomal RNA, 465 nt
Filed under: uncultured bacterium
Lineage: Bacteria
Description: partial 16S ribosomal RNA
Rfam family: Bacterial small subunit ribosomal RNA
Source: RNAcentral